GUAGGUGGCAAGCGUUGUCCGGAAUUAUUGGGCGUAAAGCGCGCGCAGGCGGUUCUUUAAGUCUGAUGUGAAAGCCCACGGCUCAACCGUGGAGGGUCAUUGGAAACUGGAGAACUUGAGUACAGAAGAGGAAAGCGGAAUUCCACGUGUAGCGGUGAAAUGCGUAGAGAUGAGGAGGAACACCAGUGGCGAAGGCGGCUUUCUGGUCUGUAACUGACGCUGAGGCGCGAAAGCGUGGGGGAGCAAACAGGAUUAGAUACCCUGGUAGUCCACGCCGUAAACGAUGAGUGCUAAGUGUUAGGGGGUUUCCGCCCCUUAGUGCUGCAGCUAACGCAUUAAGCACUCCGCCUGGGAGUACGGCCGCAAGGCUG
This 371-nucleotide ribosomal RNA is filed under the name uncultured organism. RNAcentral describes it as "partial 16S ribosomal RNA". It matches the Rfam family "Bacterial small subunit ribosomal RNA", at positions 527 to 896 of the family's 1533-position model. The record is from RNAcentral.